RNAcentral lists this ribosomal RNA (500 nucleotides) under uncultured Glomeromycotina. RNAcentral's name for it is "partial small subunit ribosomal RNA". It matches the Rfam family "Eukaryotic small subunit ribosomal RNA", at positions 591 to 1092 of the family's 1831-position model. The record is from RNAcentral. Lineage: Eukaryota; Fungi; Glomeromycota.
CCAAUAGCGUAUCUUAAAGUUGUUGCAGUUAAAAAGCUCGUAGUUGAAUUUCGGGGUCAAUACGUCGGUCGUGCCUUCGGUACGUACUGGUGUUAUUGAUCUCUCCCUUUUGAUUAAUCAUGAUGUCAUUCAUUUGGUGUCGGGGGGAGUCAGGACUGUUACUUUGAAAAAAUUAGAGUGUUUAAAGCAGGCUCACGCUUGAAUACAUUAGCAUGGAAUAAUGAAAUAGGACGUUCGAUCCUAUUUUGUUGGUUUCUAGGAUCAACGUAAUGAUUAAUAGGGAUAGUUGGGGGCAUUAGUAUUCAAUUGUCAGAGGUGAAAUUCUUGGAUUUAUUGAAGACUAACUACUGCGAAAGCAUUUGCCAAGGAUGUUUUCAUUAAUCAAGAACGAAAGUUAGGGGAUCGAAGACGAUCAGAUACCGUCGUAGUCUUAACCAUAAACUAUGCCGACUAGGGAUCGGAUGAUGUUAAUUUUUUAAUGACUCAUUCGGCGCCUUACG